This 888-nucleotide long non-coding RNA is filed under the name Felis catus (domestic cat). Its description in RNAcentral is "lncRNA (ENSFCAG00000046031.2)". The record is from RNAcentral. Lineage: Eukaryota; Metazoa; Chordata; Mammalia; Carnivora; Felidae.
GGUUACAGGAGUUUAACUGGUGACCGGGCGACCCGCUUUGGGGUCUGCCCUCGUGAGGCGCACAUUCACUUCACUGCCCCCUGUGACUGCCUAAGGCUGCCAGAUCCUGAAGGAGGGAGGAGGGGUGUGAAGCUUACUUUCCUGCCCUCCUCCUCAGUGUGCCCUUCUUUCUGUUCUUCGUCCAGAUGCUGUAAUUCCGUGCUUGGAAUCCUUGGCUCCUAUGAAGGCAAAUGUACACACACAGGAAAUACAGUGUUCUUGAGUUGCAUGCUGUGCUUCAGUAGCUGUCUUUUGUUCAGAACUUCAGCAUACUUGCAGAUCAUUUACCGUGUGUUUGAUAUACAAAACCAGCACAGGCUCUUUUUAAGCUGCCUCCAUGACUGGUGCUCUGUCCCAGGGCAAAAUGAAAAAUUCUAUAAAGGAGAAGAGGGGGAAAACGCCAUAAAAUUGCUGUGGAUUCUUUCACUGGAUAGGAAAAAAAAAAGUGUCACAGACAAAGAAAAGGGACUUUGGACUUGAAAUAUAAUGAAAGUGAUUUUUCUGAACAGACGAAGCAGAUGGCAUUUACAAAAGCAACUAAACUUUGUGAAUAGUAUAGAGUUUUCUUUGGUUCUCUUCAGAGGACAUAACACUUGAGAAAGUAAUGGGUCUGAAAGUUGAUUACCAGGCCUUCACCCCUGUGGAACCAGCUCAAAUUUAACCCUUGCUACUUCUAACUAACUGAAUUGAGUCAAUAACAAUUAUUUCUAGUGAGAAUAAUACGGCAUACAUUCGGGGAAUGUAUUAUAUAUGCUUAUCACUUCAGUUACUGUUUUUACAAACCUCAAAUGCUACAUCUAAGAAAAGACAAAUAAUAAAUCAAGAUAAAAAUUGAAAAGCUUUGAAACU